AAUGAGAGUGAUGGAAAAAAUACUUUCCAGUUUACAGCCUGGGUUAUGACUACACACCCAGAGAGUUCCAAAUACAGUAAGAUGAGCUUUUUCAGAAAUACAGAAGUCCUGAUCGGGUCCUCUAACACUGAAAGCCAAGAUUUACAUGGUGAUUUGAGCAGGAAGAACUGUUUGAUCUCAGUGGUCACUGCUCCCUCUGCGUGGAUCACAUGGACCAUACAUAAGGAGGGGCACAGUGGCUUGUAAAAACUGGAUCUGAGAACUAAAUGAUCAAUGCAUUAAGAAUCAGAGAAUUAGCUUUUUGCUAAUUCUUUAAGUAAUGAAAUCAACCUAUUUCUUCAACACAAAUAAUUAGCAAUUUCCUAAAUGUGAAGACAGUCCCUGAAAUGAUGAAGGGCACUAGGAGUGCAAUACAAUCCAUCUCACUGAGGAACAGAAUGCUUUGCUUCUGGAGCUCCAAUUUUAAAAGAAAGUUUAUCAACCACUAAAGGUAAUUCAAACUGUUGGCAUGACAUUACAAUAGUUAUGGUAUUCAUACCUGCUACAACAUAUAGUUAUACCAAUGCAUAAAGACACACUGGUGUCCCAUGGAAUUUGAGACAUUAAGUUUCAAAUAUUUGAAACAGUUUUGAUGCCACUCACCAUUGUGUUACUUGCUCCCAAAUAAAAUAAAAAACAUCAAAGAGAAGCUACAAACAACAGGACAUCGCUUGCUGGGUAUCGCCUCAUAAGCAGCACAGCAGGAUGCACCAGACAGGAGAGAUAACCUCAAUGUCAUUAAAAGCCGUAACCUGAGCAAGUGCACAAACAGGUCCUCUUGCCUCCAGCACCUCCCGCUCCCUUCCUCAAAACCCCAGCAACCACUGACAAACUAGACUGUGUUUCACUGCAGGAAAGAAUGUGGGAUGGUGAGGCAACAGCUUCUCGGCCAAGCCAAUUCAGCAUUCACCUCUCAGUGAGAAGAUAUUCGGAGGUCAGGUUUAUUUUCCACUGACCAUAUAUAACAAGUGUCCAGAUGUCAAGAUUACAGUGGUGUCUUGGGUGACUUUAUGAUGUAUAUCCUAUAUCGCUGCCGUAUGCCCAGAAAUUAAACUAAACUAAACUCAGCUAAACUCAUACAAAAAAAUGUAUACAAACUGGCUGCACUGGGUUUUAAAAAGAACUUGAAGGGAAAUGCUUGGAAUGAGCAAUUCCGUUAAUGUUCACUGCUCCCUUGAUUUCUAGCCCUCAA
Long non-coding RNA from Corvus hawaiiensis (hawaiian crow), 1231 nucleotides. RefSeq lists it as uncharacterized. The record is from RefSeq and is a predicted model, not a curated record. The transcript is spliced from 3 exons. Lineage: Eukaryota; Metazoa; Chordata; Aves; Passeriformes; Corvidae.